GAGUUUGAUCGUGGCUCAGAUUGAACGCUGGCGGCAGGCUUAACACAUGCAAGUCGAACGGUAACAGGGAGAAAGCUUGCUUUCUUUGCUGACGAGUGGCGGACGGGUGAGUAAUGCUUGGGAAUCUGGCUUAUGGAGGGGGAUAACGACGGGAAACUGUCGCUAAUACCGCGUAAUAUCUUCGGAUUAAAGGGUGGGACUUUCGGGCCACCUGCCAUAAGAUGAGCCCAAGUGGGAUUAGGUAGUUGGUGGGGUAAAGGCCUACCAAGCCGACGAUCUCUAGCUGGUCUGAGAGGAUGACCAGCCACACUGGAACUGAGACACGGUCCAGACUCCUACGGGAGGCAGCAGUGGGGAAUAUUGCACAAUGGGGGGAACCCUGAUGCAGCCAUGCCGCGUGAAUGAAGAAGGCCUUC
RNAcentral lists this ribosomal RNA (416 nucleotides) under uncultured bacterium. RNAcentral's name for it is "bacterial SSU rRNA". It matches the Rfam family "Bacterial small subunit ribosomal RNA", at positions 9 to 419 of the family's 1533-position model. The record is from RNAcentral.